Molecule: non-coding RNA, 2354 nt
Organism: Oryctolagus cuniculus (rabbit)
Lineage: Eukaryota; Metazoa; Chordata; Mammalia; Lagomorpha; Leporidae
Source: RefSeq, a predicted model, not a curated record
AGCACUGGGGUUUUAUAAGGCAGAAAUGCAAAAAAGAAAGUCUGGGUCCUUUUAGGGGAUUUUUCCACAACAGCCUGUUGAGCAUUUACACAAGGGCGCCCCGCGGACAGCAAGAAGGGGAAGAAAGGGAGAAGAGCGGUGAGGAUGCCUUGCACACGGCAGGGCAUGGGGGCUGGGGGCUGACUCUGCACUCAGAUGGCUUCCCGAAGCUCCUCCCAAGCUGGGGCCAGUCUCUGGGGACCCCGGGAGGAGAGGACCCCAAAGCAGCCAACUGCAUGGAUUUUCUGGACCCAAGGCCCUGCUGAGCUCCCUCCCCCGAUCCCGGCCAGUGGGAGACCUGCUCCACUCUCGGUGGAGGCGCUGUCUUUUCUUGGGAUGUGCAUGCAUGUGUGUGUCCCUCUCCUCCUCCCACACAGUCUCUGUGCCAUGGCGCUUACCAGCUGGGUUUUGCUUGGGGCUUGUAAAAGGCCUUCUGUGGCUCCCUACUCACUGGCUGCCUCCACUCAGAACUAAGGUCCUGAGCAGCCCGCUCCCCCUCCCUGCCUUUGCAACCAGCCAGGGUCUUUCUCCACAUUUGCCCCGGCUCCCAGGCCAUCCCGCCUGCCCCCACCACCACCACCAUCAAUACACACACACAGACAAAGGACCCUUGCAGCCCAGAGUUCCCCACACCUCCCCCAGGCAGCCACGGAGACGCUUUGAACGCUGCUGGAAGCCGAAGAGCCAGGAGAAGGCGUCUGGUUCUCACCAACGCUGAGCCCCUUGGCCAGCCCUAGGAUGUCGCCCUCCUCCCCAGCGUUGUGACCCUGUAAUUAGAACAGAUCGUACGUUGUUAGCCCAGGGCCCAGACGCCCUGGCUUCCGUCUUCAGCCCCAUGAGUGUCUCGUGUGCCACCUCGGACUCGGACAAGUUUCCUGGCCCUGAGAGGGCUUCUGUGUCACAGGGGAAUGGAGCUGCAUGAACACAGCUUCGCCAGCUACCUGCCAACGGUGUGCAACACUGCUCCAAGUUCUAAGCCCAAACCUCCUGUGCCCCCACCUUGUCAAUUACACAUUUCUAAAGGGCCAGCACUGUGGCACAGCAGGUUAAGACACUGGCUACCAUGCCAGCAUCCCACAUCAGAGUGCCAGUUUGAGUCUCACUGGUGUACUUUUGAUCCAGCUCCCUGCUCCCUGCUAACGCUCCUGGGAAGCAGAGGGUGGCCCAAGUGCUUGGACCCCUGUCCCAUGUGGGACACCCGGAUGGAUUCCAGGCUCCUGUUUCCAAUCUGGCUGAGCCCUGGAUGUCACAGGUAUUUGAGGGAGUAAGCCAACAAGUGGAAUCUCGCUCUCGCUCUCUCUGCUGCUCUUUCAAAUAAAUAAAUUUGAAAAGAUAACACAUUUCAGGUCUUGAUGGCUCUCCCACUGCUUUCCUGAUACAAACUGCCUCCUCCACAUGGGCUUGCUCGUUGCUCUUGGCCAACCUAGCCCUGCUCCUGGCUCCUGCCAUCAAUGUCCAGUCCCUAGCUGACUGGGUCUCUCCAAGUCCCACGGCCUCUCCUUCCUAACACAUCCAAGGCCCCUCUCUCAUGGGUGCCUGCCCCCUCCCUCAACUCAGGUAGGGAGCACCCAUGCACUGCUCUGCACCCCAAAUCCAUCACUGUGUCAAGGUGAACUGUGGGUGUGUUAUGAAUGGAUUCAAGACACACCGCCCCAAAAUAUGGCACCUAGUAUAUUGAACCUUUUAAGCUGAAGGCAUUUGAGAAAUAGCAGAUGUAGGAAGGACUCUCUGAGCCCCCCUGGAAGCAGGUCCUGAGCCCCUCCUGUGAGAGGCGCUGACUCUACAUCCAGAGGAAAUGAAUCUCCCUGUCUCUGACAAUGGACGCACCAGAGGAAUCUGCAGGAACAGGACCUGGUUGGGGCCGACGAUGUUAAGUGCCGGUUCGAGUCCCAGCUGCUCCACUUCCAAUCCAGCUUCCUUGCUAUUACACCUGAGAAAGCCGCAGAAGAUGGCCCAAGUGCUUGGACCCCUGCAUCCAUGUGGGACAUCUGAUUAGAGUUCCAAGCUUCUUUCUUCUACCUGGCCCAUCCCCAACCAUGGUGGCCAUUUGGGGAGUGAACCAGCAGAUAGAAGACCUCUCUCUCUUUAUGUAACUCUGCCUUUCAAAUAAAUAAUAAAAAUUUUUUAAAAAGCUCAGAUUUAUGAAAGCUUCAUGAAAGUUCCUGUACCAUGUAAAACUUAGGUUAAAUAAAUGUCUUGCUUUUCUCUAUUAAUCUGCUACAGAGAUGCAGCCAAGAACCUGGAUGGGGAAGAGAAAGAUACUUUUGCGUCCCCUACAGUGGCCUUCAUAGAGCUCCUAUGCUUUACAGGAAUAA